Long non-coding RNA from Malania oleifera, 1187 nucleotides. RefSeq lists it as uncharacterized. NCBI's taxonomy places the organism in Eukaryota, Viridiplantae, Streptophyta, Magnoliopsida, Santalales, Ximeniaceae. The transcript is spliced from 7 exons. The record is from RefSeq and is a predicted model, not a curated record.
GGUCCAUACUUCAUUUUUCACUACUUAUUUUCACAAGCCUGGGGGGGGAUUUUUUUUUACGGUUCAUCAUCUCUCUCAGUUCUCUGAUCUCUCCAUAAUAUCUCGCCUCUCUCACGAACCCUCAACUUCCAUACCCAAGCAUUAUUCCUCACCUAGAUCACUCGAGCACCCUAGACCAGCCACCAUCAGUUCCGUCACCGAAAAAAGUAGCAGCGGUGGUCGUCGUUUCCAGUUCUCUACUUCCAGCCAGCUGUUGAAGCCUAGCAGAACCACCCCAUCACCAUCGUCACCUUAGGGCUACCAUUGUCACUCCAGUGUCGUUGUCAUCGCCAUCAACCUCACGGCCUGCCCAACCUUCCACGAUCCAGCUCCUAACCACAAUCGUGAGCAUCCUGUGCACAAAGACGAGCCUCUACAGAGAUAUUCACCAACUCCGGCCAUAUAGCAGGGUCUCCGCUCUGCACCUCUCGAUUUUGGUGACGAUGAUGGUGGAUGACCCAUGAGCUGUAAAGGAUGAUUUAUGCUACAUGAGCCAGGCCACCGAUGGCUCUGACCCAGAUCACGGUACAAAGGCUGGCUGUAUCUUCACUAUCUUGCGUCACUGACUACAGAGUUCUAUAGGUCCAGGUGAACGCCGUGUGGGUAUCAGUUCGGGGAUCCUACAAGUGUAGUUGAAAGUCAGGACAUCCUCGAUGUUGGGCUUAGGAGCUCGAGGGUAUUUUUAGCAUUUUUGAGGACUAUAUAAGAAACGGGAAAACGAUUUCCCAGCCUUCUCUCUUCGAUUUCGGCCGAUUUUGACCCGGUUUGACGAUCCGUAACCACCACGAGGUUCGUGGGAUCAUUCUCUUCAAGGCUGUGGGAGCUUAUCGUUGGGUUGUAAGGUUUGGGAAACAUCCCAAAAUCAGGGGUCCAGGUGAACACCGUGUGGGUAUCAGUUCGGGGAUCCUACAAGCGUAGUUGGAAGUCAGGACAUCCUCGAGGUCGGGCUUAAGAGCUCGAGGGUAUUUUUAGCAUUUUUAGGGACUAUAUAAGAAACAGGGUAUAUGUUGAUACUAUCUUGGAAAUGAAAAUGUUUAUAUUUUAUGUCUUUAUUGUUUAAGGAUGUUGAGAAUGGAAUGAUUGUGAAUAUACUAGAAUGUUCUGGAGAUGUAUGAAUAUAUGGAAAUGCAGGUGAUGGUUGGAUUUUA